RNAcentral lists this unclassified non-coding RNA (214 nucleotides) under Hevea brasiliensis (rubber tree). Lineage: Eukaryota; Viridiplantae; Streptophyta; Magnoliopsida; Malpighiales; Euphorbiaceae. The record is from RNAcentral.
GCAAAAUAUUUGGUUAAAUAACACAAGCCAGCAACGUAAUGCAUCUGCAGAAGCUAAUAAGAUUGGUUUAUUAAACAAUACUCUUGAGGCAGCUUCAUUGGCUCCAUUGGGGUUCAACGAUCAAACUUCCCAAAAAUGUGGACCCCAAUUAAUGGAAUCUGAGAUGAUUCCUACAAAUUCACAGGAUUACCAUAAGGAUGAGAUACCAGAACAG